RNAcentral lists this ribosomal RNA (253 nucleotides) under uncultured bacterium. RNAcentral's name for it is "partial 16S ribosomal RNA". It matches the Rfam family "Bacterial small subunit ribosomal RNA", at positions 524 to 776 of the family's 1533-position model. The record is from RNAcentral.
UACGAAGGGGGCGAGCGUUGUUCGGAAUCACUGGGCGUAAAGCGCACGUAGGUGGAUUGCUAAGUCAGGGGUGAAAUCCUGGAGCUCAACUCCAGAACUGCCCUUGAUACUGGCGGUCUCGAGUCCGGGAGAGGUGAGUGGAACUGCGAGUGUAGAGGUGAAAUUCGUAGAUAUUCGCAAGAACACCAGUGGCGAAGGCGGCUCACUGGCCCGGUACUGACGCUGAGGUGCGAAAGCGUGGGGAGCAAACAGG